CUACGGGGUGCUGCAGUAGGGAAUAUUGCGCAAUGGGCGAAAGCCUGACGCAGCAACGCCGCGUGAGUGAGGAAGGCCUUCGGGUUGUAAAGCUCUGUUAAGGUGGAAAAAUGGGUUCUGGUCCAAUAGGCCAGAAUUUUGAUGGUACACCUAGAGGAAGCACCGGCUAACUUCGUGCCAGCAGCCGCGGUAAUACGAAGGGUGCGAGCGUGUUCGGAUUUAUUGGGCGUAAAGCGCGCGCAGGCGGAUUAAUAAGUCAGGUGUGAAAUCUCGGGGCCCAACUCCGAAACUGCGCCUGAAACUGUUAAUCUAGAAUCUUGGAGAGGGAAGGGGAAUUUCGCAUGUAGGAGUAAAAUCCGUAGAGAUGCGAAGGAACACCAGAGGCGAAGGCGCCUUCCUGGACAAGAAUUGACGCUGAGGCGCGAAAGCGUGGGGAGCAAACAGGAUUAGAUACCCGAGUAGUC
RNAcentral lists this ribosomal RNA (464 nucleotides) under uncultured bacterium. Its description in RNAcentral is "partial 16S ribosomal RNA". It matches the Rfam family "Bacterial small subunit ribosomal RNA", at positions 339 to 795 of the family's 1533-position model. The record is from RNAcentral.